GAUGAACGCUGGCGGCGUGCCUAAUACAUGCAAGUCGAGCGAACAGACGAGGAGCUUUCUCCUCUGACGUUAGCGGCGGACGGGUGAGUAACACGUGGAUAACCUACCUAUAAGACUGGGAUAACUUCGGGAAACCGGAGCUAAUACCGGAUGAUAUAUUGAACCGCAUGGUUUAAUAGUUAAAAACGGGUUUGCUGUCACUUAUAGAUGGAUCCGCGCCGCAUUAGCUAGUUGGUAAGGUAACGGCUUACCAAGGCAACGAUGCGUAGCCGACCUGAGAGGGUGAUCGGCCACACUGGAACUGAGACACGGUCCAGACUCCUACGGGAGGCAGCAGUAGGGAAUCUUCCGCAAUGGGCGAAAGCCUGACGGAGCAACGCCGCGUGAGUGAUGAAGGUCUUCGGAUCGUAAAACUCUGUUAUUAGGGAAGAACAAAUGUGUAAGUAACUAUGCACGUCUUGACGGUACCUAAUCAGAAAGCCACGGCUAACUACGUG
Molecule: ribosomal RNA, 497 nt
Filed under: uncultured bacterium
Lineage: Bacteria
Description: partial 16S ribosomal RNA
Rfam family: Bacterial small subunit ribosomal RNA
Source: RNAcentral